AUCGCUUCUCGGCCUUUUGGCUAAGAUCAAAGUGUAGUAUCUGUUCUUAUCAGCUUAAUAUCUGAUACGGUCCUCAUUGAGGGCCCAGAAUAUUAAACUGAUUUUUUGGAAUCAGAUGGGGUGCUCGGAGCUUGCUCCACCCCUGUCACGGGUUGGCCUGGUAUUGCAGUACCUCCAGGAUCGGCCCUCUCCUU
RNAcentral lists this small nuclear RNA (194 nucleotides) under Strigamia maritima. RNAcentral's name for it is "U2 spliceosomal RNA". It matches the Rfam family "U2 spliceosomal RNA". From Rfam's summary of the family: U2 is a small nuclear RNA (snRNA) component of the spliceosome (involved in pre-mRNA splicing). The record is from Rfam by way of RNAcentral. Lineage: Eukaryota; Metazoa; Arthropoda; Chilopoda; Geophilomorpha; Linotaeniidae.